Oncorhynchus keta (chum salmon) is the source of this 1326-nucleotide long non-coding RNA. RefSeq lists it as uncharacterized. The record is from RefSeq and is a predicted model, not a curated record. The transcript is spliced from 4 exons. Lineage: Eukaryota; Metazoa; Chordata; Actinopteri; Salmoniformes; Salmonidae.
GGAGAAGGUACAGUAAACCACUUCAUUCAGACACUGUGAAGAUCACCAUGGUGAGAAACUUGAUCAGCUCUGUCAUCAACCUGAAAGACUGAGGGAUUCCUGCAUGGAGAAGGUACAGUAAACCACUUCAUUCAGACACUGUGAAGAUCACCAUGGUGAGAAACUUGACCAGCUCUGUCAUCAACCUGAAAGACUGAGGGAUUCCUGCAUGGAGAAGGUACAGUAAACCACUUCAUUCAGACACUGUGAAGAUCACCAUGGUGAGAAACUUGAUCAGCUCUGUCAUCAACCUGAAAGACUGAGGGAUUCCUGCAUGGAGAAGGUACAGUAAACCACUUCAUUCAGACACUGUGAAGAUCACCAUGGUGAGAAACUUGACCAGCUCUGUCAUCAACCUGAAAGACUGAGGGAUUCCUGCAUGGAGAAGGUACAGUAAACCACUUCAUUCAGACACUGUGAAGAUCACCAUGGUGAGAAACUUGAUCAGCUCUGUCAUCAACCUGAAAGACUGAGGGAUUCCUGCAUGGAGAAGGUACAGUAAACCACUUCAUUCAGACACUGUGAAGAUCACCAUGGUGAGAAACUUGAUCAGCUCUGUCAUCAACCUGAAAGACUGAGGGAUUCCUGCAUGGAGAAGGUACAGUAAACCACUUCAUUCAGACACUGUGAAGAUCACCAUGGUGAGAAACUUGAUCAGCUCUGUCAUCAACCUGAAAGACUGAGGGAUUCCUGCAUGGAGAAGGUACAGUAAACCACUUCAUUCAGACACUGUGAAGAUCACCAUGGUGAGAAACUUGACCAGCUCUGUCAUCAACCUGAAAGACUGAGGGAUUCCUGCAUGGAGAAGGUACAGUAAACCACUUCAUUCAGACACUGUGAAGAUCACCAUGGUGAGAAACUUGACCAGCUCUGUCAUCAACCUGAAAGACUGAGGGAUUCCUGCAUGGAGAAGGUACAGUAAACCACUUCAUUCAGACACUGUGAAGAUCACCAUGGUGAGAAACUUGACCAGCUCUGUCACUGAACUGAAAGACUGAGGGAUUCCUGCAUGGAGAAGGUACAGUAAACCACUUCAUUCAGACACUGUGAAGAUCACCAUGGUGAGAAACUUGAUCAGCUCUGUCAUCAAACUGAAAGACUGAGGGAGUCCUGCAUGGAGAAGGUACAGUAAACCACUUCAUUCAGACACUGUAUUGACAUUUUGCUAAUUAUCCGGGAUAUAGUUUUGGAAUGUUAACCAUGAAAGGGAAGUUGACUUAAAAUCCAGAAAUUCCCAAGUGAUUCCAUACAUUGAAACUAAUUUGGUGGAGUUUGCCCUCUCUCCCU